UAAUACGGAUGGUGCGAGCGUUGUUCGGAAUUACUGGGCGUAAAGGGCGCGUAGGCGGCCUACCAAGUCAGAUGUGAAAGCCCACGGCUCAACCGUGGACGUGCAUCUGAAACUGGCAGGCUUGAGUACUGGAGAGGAAAGUGGAAUUCCUGGUGUAGAGGUGAAAUUCGUAGAGAUCAGGAGGAAUACCGGUGGCGAAGGCGACUUUCUGGACAGAUACUGACGCUGAGGCGCGAAAGCGUGGGGAGCAAACAGGAUUAGAUACCCUGGUAGUCCACAGCUGUAAACGAUGUGCACUAGGUGUAGGGGGUCGUUGACCCUUUCUGUGCCGCAGCUAACGCAUUAAGUGCACCGCCUGGGGAGUACGGUCGCAAGAUUA
This 379-nucleotide ribosomal RNA is filed under the name uncultured delta proteobacterium. RNAcentral describes it as "bacterial SSU rRNA". It matches the Rfam family "Bacterial small subunit ribosomal RNA", at positions 521 to 896 of the family's 1533-position model. The record is from RNAcentral. Lineage: Bacteria; Deltaproteobacteria.